Odocoileus virginianus texanus is the source of this 2799-nucleotide non-coding RNA. Lineage: Eukaryota; Metazoa; Chordata; Mammalia; Artiodactyla; Cervidae. The record is from RefSeq and is a predicted model, not a curated record.
UCAGGUGUCUGUGACGCCCCGCCCUCUGUGCUCAGGUGUCUGUGACGCUCCGCCCUCUGUGCUCAGGUGUCUGUGACGCUCCGCCCUCUGGGCUCAGGUGUCUCUGUGUGAGCCUCACAUCUCCCUGCCAGGUCUUGAGUCACGACUCUACUCUCUUGCCUCCAGGUUUUUAUGCGUGGUUCUCACCAGCCCUGAAAGCCUGUGUAGUCAGUGUGAGGAGGAAAGGGCCACCAUGGAGCAACCUGCCAGAUGCCAUCACCAGGAAACGCACUCAUCAACACGCGGGACGUCGCGUGAGCCUUGCUGAGUUUUCCUGCAUUUGUCAGCUGCCCGGCUGUGACACUCUCCAGUGGCUGUCAAGGUGCCAAAGCGAGCAGGAGUGGACGCAGAGGGGAGACGGUGCAGGGACGUUUGGGAAGGUCGAGAUGGAAGCAUCCUGAUUUUACACGGUCACUUCCUACUGGAGCUUCUGAAGGAGAUGCGGGGCACAGGGGGUGUGUCUCCAUCUUUGUUCUCUGCUGGCUGCCCACAGAGCCCAGAGACGAGCUUCCUGCUGGGCGUGGGACAAUGCCACUCAGGGGGUUGGGGUGCAGGGUGGCUGCGUGAGGGGCACAGCAGGCUUGGGGUCACUGCUGCUCUAGGGAAUGCACCCCUGGCCAUGGCACCCCACUUCUGAACUGCAAUGAAACCACCAGGGGUUCUGCAGAAGCUUCUCAAGUUACAGAGAGAAACACAGGCCCAAGAUUGAGGUUCAGAAGCACCCAGCACAGUGUCACUGCUGUUUACAGCAGGCGCUGUGUGGGUGCGCAGGCCACCUCACUUUAUCUUCCUAACCGCACUGGGAACAGGGGUUGGUAGCUCUGUUUUAUCAGGGAGAAAGCAGGCAUCUAGGGGCUAGUGAUGCACAAGCCCCAGUCGUGCCCACUGACACCCACUGUCCUCUAUGUAGCUGGGUGUUUGCAAGCUGUUGGGGAGUCUUAGUAAAAAUUAACCUCAUGUGCCUUUUUGGAAAAUCUACUGUCACCCCACUAAGUAACUAACUAACCAGACACUAACUAACUUACUAACUAGCACAGUGGUCCCUUGCUUACAGGAUGCUGCACUCCAAAAUUAUUCCUCCCCAGCAGCCUCCGAGAAACUAAAAUGUGAAUGAAAUCUAACACUGGAAAGAAUAGCAAGGGAAAAUUACUUUCUAAGGCAUGAGGGUAAACAUGCAGGCAGUUUAACUGUGUUCAUUCCAGUGUCACCCUAAAGCGCUGUCACUGCCUCUCUGGGGCCUGAGGCAGGACUGGGCCAGCUUCCCCAGGAGCAGAGCCUGUGCACCGUCUUUUCCCCAGCCCUGACCAGACGGAAGGGUGGGGAGGAGAGGCCUGCUCCCGUUAGCCACCUUACUCCCAGUUUCGCUCAGAGCAGUGGCCAGAGCAGCACCGCGCUCCUGCCUGGGGACGGAGGCUGGACGCGAGUGCUGCCAUCGGCGCACGUCUUAUGUCCUCUGACCCUUGUCCUCCCACUGCCCUGGGAACGGCGGCUCCUGGCACACAGCCUGAGCGUGGAGCAAAGGGGCCACGUGAUCCGGGGAGAGUUCUCUGCCUCACAGCAGAAUACAGGCACGGGCAGCAUCAUCCCAUCCAAGCCUCAGACCUGCUGUCAGUGCUCAGCACAGCUGAGCCCACUGCCUGGCCAGAGUGCUAGUUAGGACCCAGCCGGAGGUGUCCUCUGUAGGACCCUAGUUCCAAUAGGACCGGGAGGCAGCAGGAGUGACAGCCCGUGACGGCCCCCACGCGGCACUCACAGGUUAGAUUACCUCGGACCUGGACUUGGGAAGAUAAAUCUCCCACUUACCCUGUAGUCAGUGAUAAGCCCUGCAAAGGAGAAAGAAAGAAAAAAGGAACCGUUAGACACAUUGGUCGAUUACCUGCCUCAUUCUUUUCCAUCAUCUCUUGAACCGGACCAAAGACCACUGAGGGCAGGGGCUGGGUGUUCAUUGAGAUGAUCCCCAAGGUAUCAGAUUCAAGGGGGGUUCCAGAGAGCAAAGCACAAGAGGAAAUACUGAAUUAGGAGUGGAUCCCCACUCAUUUCACUUUUUGCAGUUUGACAAGCAGGGAAAUCUGAGAUUUCUUCUGUGCCCUGGGGUGAAUUGGCAUUCAAAUUCUGUGAAGUCUUCAUCAUCCAUUCAUUCUUGUGUGGGAAGGUGAAUUUGUGAUAUAGAAGUGAUUUGAAUGUAAAGAAAUCAAACUUUUGAUGGGACUUUAUCUCCGUGUUCUCAUUUCUUAGUCUGGAUUCUGGAGCUGAGUAAAUACCCAGUGAGUGUCUUCCGAGUUGGCUUCAUUAUCUGGGAUUCAAAGGUCUUCACAGGGGUUAUGAACAAGGUCUGGUUCGUAUUUAGGUCUCCUCUUGUGCCAAAAGCAGUAAAGUCAAAGCUGGUGUAUACGGAAGAACACUAGAUGAAGAGUCUCGCAGACGGGAGUCUCUACGUGGGAAUCUUGGGCACAGAAUCAGGAAAUUCUAGUGCAUUGUGCGACAGAAGCUUCAAAGAAGAGAAGUCAGAUGCAGAAGCCUCUAUAGCUGAACAACGUGGUUAAAGAUGGAGUCUGUGUCUCAAAGAACCUGCUUCCCCAAGGACUGGCUGAAGACCUGGUCCAGUUAGGUGCUGGCCUGUACAAGUGUUUCCUGUUAACAUAAAGAAUGCUAAAGCCCUCUCCAGCAGCAAGUCCUAAUAAUGAUGGUGUUACUUACACUGUGGACUACUUACUACAUCCUACAUCCCUUAGUUCAGUUCAGUCACUCAGUUAUGUCCAA